UCGAUGUCAAGAAUGUAAGAUUCAAAUUCCUUGCAAGUCUCGGAGUUGAUUUAUAUAAUUUUUAGACCUUAAAACCUUCAAAAAUCCUGAGAACUCGAACCCCAGAUUUCAUGCAUUGUUCAUGCACUAAUUAAUGUGAGGUUUUAGGAUUUUUUAAAGGCAUAUGAAGCUUUAAAUUGUCUUCACGAAGCUGGAAGAAUAAAAAUGAAGUGAUUUGGACGUCGGAAAGUUGAGAUAUGACGAGUUGCAGGUUUAGCUGGAAUAUCGAAGGAAUUUCCGGCAAGUUCCAUCGGUUUUAGGACCUUUGAAAGUUUCCGGUGAACGACGACGGCGACGGCGACCGAUAAGGCUAACCGGAGAAGAAGAUAGAAUAUUUCGUCAAAGUUGACGGAAUAUUCUGAUGUCAUCAGGGUUGACUUAUCUCGAGGACGAGCGCAGUCAAGGGUGAC
Molecule: long non-coding RNA, 449 nt
Organism: Malus domestica (apple)
Lineage: Eukaryota; Viridiplantae; Streptophyta; Magnoliopsida; Rosales; Rosaceae
Source: RefSeq, a predicted model, not a curated record